This 253-nucleotide ribosomal RNA is filed under the name uncultured bacterium. RNAcentral's name for it is "partial 16S ribosomal RNA". It matches the Rfam family "Bacterial small subunit ribosomal RNA", at positions 524 to 776 of the family's 1533-position model. The record is from RNAcentral.
CACGUAGGGCGCAAGCGUUGUCCGGAAUUAUUGGGCGUAAAGAGCUCGUAGGCGGUCUGUUGCGUCCGCUGUGAAAACUCGGGGCUUAACCCCGAGCCUGCAGUGGAUACGGGCAGACUAGAGGUAGGUAGGGGAGAAUGGAAUUCCCGGUGUAGCGGUGAAAUGCGUAGAUAUCUGGAGGAACACCGGUGGCGAAGGCGGCAUCCUGGACCGGCAUUGACGCUGAGGCGCGAAAGCCAGGGGAGCAAACGGG